GACGAACGCUGGCGGCGUGCCUAAUACAUGCAAGUCGAACGCUGAAGGAGGAGCUUGCUUCUCUGGAUGAGUUGCGAACGGGUGAGUAACGCGUAGGUAACCUGCCUGGUAGCGGGGGAUAACUAUUGGAAACGAUAGCUAAUACCGCAUAAGAGUAGAUGUCGCAUGACAUUUGCUUAAAAGGUGCAAUUGCAUCACUACCAGAUGGACCUGCGUUGUAUUAGCUAGUUGGUGAGGUAACGGCUCACCAAGGCAACGAUACAUAGCCGACCUGAGAGGGUGAUCGGCCACACUGGGACUGAGACACGGCCCAGACUCCUACGGGAGGCAGCAGUAGGGAAUCUUCGGCAAUGGACGGAAGUCUGACCGAGCAACGCCGCGUGAGUGAAGAAGGUUUUCGGAUCGUAAAGCUCUGUUGUAAGAGAAGAACGAGUGUGAGAGUGGAAAGUUCACACUGUGACGGUAUCUUACCAGAAAGGGACGGCUAACUACGUG
RNAcentral lists this ribosomal RNA (495 nucleotides) under uncultured bacterium. Its description in RNAcentral is "partial 16S ribosomal RNA". It matches the Rfam family "Bacterial small subunit ribosomal RNA", at positions 28 to 507 of the family's 1533-position model. The record is from RNAcentral.